AGAUUGAACGCUGGCGGCAGGCCUAACACAUGCAAGUCGAGCGGCAGCACGGGUACUUGUACCUGGUGGCGAGCGGCGGACGGGUGAGUAAUGCCUAGGAAUCUGCCUGGUAGUGGGGGAUAACGCUCGGAAACGGACGCUAAUACCGCAUACGUCCUACGGGAGAAAGCAGGGGACCUUCGGGCCUUGCGCUAUCAGAUGAGCCUAGGUCGGAUUAGCUAGUUGGUGAGGUAAUGGCUCACCAAGGCGACGAUCCGUAACUGGUCUGAGAGGAUGAUCAGUCACACUGGAACUGAAGACACGGUCCAG
RNAcentral lists this ribosomal RNA (309 nucleotides) under uncultured soil bacterium. RNAcentral describes it as "bacterial SSU rRNA". It matches the Rfam family "Bacterial small subunit ribosomal RNA", at positions 26 to 334 of the family's 1533-position model. The record is from RNAcentral.